RNAcentral lists this ribosomal RNA (603 nucleotides) under uncultured bacterium. RNAcentral's name for it is "bacterial SSU rRNA". It matches the Rfam family "Bacterial small subunit ribosomal RNA", at positions 331 to 929 of the family's 1533-position model. The record is from RNAcentral.
CCAGACUCCUACGGGAGGCAGCAGCUAAGAAUAUUCCGCAAUGGACGGAAGUCUGACGGAGCGACGCCGCGUGGAUGAAGAAGGCUGAAAAGUUGUAAAAUCCUUUUGUUGAUGAAGAAUAAGGGGAAGAGGGAAUGCUUCUCUGAUGACGGUAGUCGGCGAAUAAGCCCCGGCUAAUUACGUGCCAGCAGCCGCGGUAACACGUAAGGGGCGAGCGUUGUUCGGAAUUAUUGGGCGUAAAGGGCAUGUAGGCGGUUAUGUAAGCCUGAUGUGAAAUCCUGGGGCUUAACCCCAGAAUAGCAUUGGGUACUGUGUAACUUGAAUUACGGAAGGGAAACUGGAAUUCCAAGUGUAGGGGUGGAAUCUGUAGAUAUUUGGAAGAACACCGGUGGCGAAGGCGGGUUUCUGGCCGAUAAUUGACGCUGAGAUGCGAAAGUGUGGGGAUCGAACAGGAUUAGAUACCCUGGUAGUCCACACCGUAAACGAUGUACACUAGGUGUUGGGGCAAGAGCUUCAGUGCCAAAGCAAACGCGAUAAGUGUACCGCCUGGGGAGUAUGCCCGCAAGGGUGAAACUCACAGGAAUUGACGGGGGCCCGCACAAG